Long non-coding RNA from Cucurbita moschata (crookneck pumpkin), 817 nucleotides. RefSeq lists it as uncharacterized. NCBI's taxonomy places the organism in Eukaryota, Viridiplantae, Streptophyta, Magnoliopsida, Cucurbitales, Cucurbitaceae. The record is from RefSeq and is a predicted model, not a curated record. The transcript is spliced from 2 exons.
UCCCAUAUAUAUAUUUUAAAAAAUGUUAAAAGACAUUCGAUUUGAUAUUUUACGAACUUCCAUUAUGGGCAGUCCCGCGGAUCACGGACCCAAUAUUUUCAUAUGUUUCUGCAGCGGAGCGGUGGAGUAACAGGAGCGGAUUGUUAGAUCAUUACAAUUUGUUUUGUUAGAUUAUUAUUAUGGGAAAAACGCCAUUGAAAGUGAUGCUUUUCGUCACCUGUUCCACUGCUUGAAUUCCGGGUUCAAUUCAAUCUCACUUAAACAGCGUUUCUCCCAGUCAACCCGCAGCUUUUCCCAGAUUUGACGUUUUCUCCCCGUCUUCUUCGACAAAUUCCCUUCACUUCCAUCCAAAUCCCACACCAUGAAGUGGGUAUCAGAAUCAAGCCCCUAUCCUACGCUGGCUUGCUCAAUCGCUCGCCCAUUUCAAAAUGGAAAGCCUAAAAGUGAUGUUAGCCCUCACUUGCAUGAAACUGUAAAGCAAUCAAUUGGAAUGGUAAACUGCUUAAAAUGCUUAGCUUGGACACAUCCUUUGAGUGAGCCAGAAAAACUUGCAGCCUUAUGAUUUCAGGAGGGGAACAGAUUGGACUUGUGCUACAGAAUCAUCUCUUUGAGUUGUCACUAUUCAUUAAAGCUUUGAUUAAGUUGAAAGGAAAUUUUAAUCUUGCGACAAAAGCUGAUGAUUAUAGGCCGUUUCAAGUUGUUCUUUUAAAAGACUUUUUCAGUAAUCUUCACGUGCCCCUCUGGGUUUCGAGGAGAGAGAUGCCAUGCCUCAAAUGGCUAUGAUUAGAUUCAAAUAAAGGAAUGGCCCUACUACUAA